Long non-coding RNA from Ictidomys tridecemlineatus (thirteen-lined ground squirrel), 1246 nucleotides. RefSeq lists it as uncharacterized. Lineage: Eukaryota; Metazoa; Chordata; Mammalia; Rodentia; Sciuridae. The record is from RefSeq and is a predicted model, not a curated record.
CUUGGACUUUGUUACUCUAAAGCACUGUAGAAUUUCUAUGAUAGAUUUGCAUGCCUGGAAAGAUUUGCUAAAUCCAUAGAUCAUGUACAUGAAGUCCCAAGCUGGGACAAUCUCCCACUCCUGCCCCUUCUCCUCUAACCCUUUCUAAGGGAAAUCUGCUUUGGGAGAGUCCACUCUGUUGGAGGAAUGGCAGAGCAACAUGCAGCAGGAGCUCCAAGGGAAUCACUGUGCCUUUCAACAGAAUCCCUGGUAUUCAACUUCAAGACCUGUUGCUUUUUGCCUUGUGGUCCAUGGCUGCCGUAAAACAGUGGAGAACUACUCAGAAGUUUAAAAGAAUUGACAUGAAACACCAUGAAUGGAACUCAAAUUAACUAUGGUUUUCCCAGGUAAUUCCAUCAUCUGACUUCUGUGAUCCACAGCCUACAGGGCAGAAGCAUUUGCAACACCAUACUGGCAUUGCAUGAGGAUCAUUGGCUAAGACAGAGCACACAAUCAGCUUUGCUGUAUGUAUGCCUGCUCCACGCAUCAUUAAGCAUUAAUGAAAUGUUCUCUAAUUGUUUCUCAUUCCUGGCUCACAGGCUCUUUAUCGCUUGGUACUUCCGUGUAGCUACUCUUGAAGUCAAAGCUAACUUUUCCAACUGUUGAGAUGGCUGGCACACACCUCUCUGUGGAAUAAACAAUAUUAACCUACUAUGAUUUGGAAGGCAAAAGAAGGAGUAAGAAUGUUCCUGAUCACGGGCAUCUAAACAACAUUUUCAGUUUUGCUUUUAGCUGCCAAUUCUUUUACUUCUGAAUCGCAAGUACUGCCAUCCACUCUUGGCUUUGCAUGAAGAUCUGUGCCAACUAUCAAAAACAUCUUAGCAUCAUUCAUUGCUAUUUGAAAAAAAAAUUUCAGUAAUGGAUGUGAAUAAAUGUUCAAGAUUUCUGAGGAAACUUCUCUAAAGAAAACCUUGCAAAUAAUGUAUUUUAAGAGAAAAUUGUUUGGAAAAUACAGAAGAUUGUAAGGAAAGAAGUCGACCAAUUUGUACCAUCACACAGAGAUAAAAGCCAUUCAUAUGCUUGGUAUAAUAUAUUUUGAAAAAAAAAAUGUUUUGGAUAUGUCUCGGCAAAACAAAUUUCUCCCAUCAGAAAUAGAAAUAAUGAUCAUCUUAAAUGUGUAUGUUGGGAGUAGGAGGAAAGUUUUAUUGCUGACUGUUAGAAAAAAAUUAAAAGGUGCAAAUGCUAAUAAAAACUGUCACCAUGCUUG